UACGAAGGGGGCUAGCGUUGCUCGGAAUUACUGGGCGUAAAGGGCGCGUAGGCGGCCUGUUAAGUCGAACGUGAAAUCCCUGGGCUCAACCCAGGAACUGCGUCCGAUACUGGCAGGCUUGAAUCCGGGAGAGGGAUGCGGAAUUCCAGGUGUAGCGGUGAAAUGCGUAGAUAUCUGGAGGAACACCGGUGGCGAAGGCGGCAUCCUGGACCGGCAUUGACGCUGAGGCGCGAAAGCCAGGGGAGCAAACGGG
This 253-nucleotide ribosomal RNA is filed under the name uncultured bacterium. RNAcentral describes it as "partial 16S ribosomal RNA". It matches the Rfam family "Bacterial small subunit ribosomal RNA", at positions 524 to 776 of the family's 1533-position model. The record is from RNAcentral.